AUUGAACGCUGGCGGCAGGCCUAACACAUGCAAGUCGAGCGGAUGAAGGGAGCUUGCUCCUGGAUUCAGCGGCGGACGGGUGAGUAAUGCCUAGGAAUCUGCCUGGUAGUGGGGGAUAACGUCCGGAAACGGGCGCUAAUACCGCAUACGUCCUGAGGGAGAAAGUGGGGGAUCUUCGGACCUCACGCUAUCGGAUGAGCCUAGGUCAGAUUAGCUAGUUGGUGGGGUAAAGGCCUACCAAGGCGACGAUCCGUAACUGGUCUGAGAGGAUGAUCAGCCACACUGGAACUGAGACACGGUCCAGACUCCUACGGGAGGCAGCAGUGGGGAAUAUUGGACAAUGGGCGAAAGCCUGAUCCAGCCAUGCCGCGUGUGUGAAGAAGGUCUUCGGAUUGUAAAGCACUUUAAGUUGGGAGGAAGGGCAGUAAGUUAAUACCUUGCUGUUUUGACGUUACCAACAGAAUAAGCACCGGCUAACUUCGUG
Molecule: ribosomal RNA, 484 nt
Filed under: uncultured bacterium
Lineage: Bacteria
Description: partial 16S ribosomal RNA
Rfam family: Bacterial small subunit ribosomal RNA
Source: RNAcentral